AUCAUUUCCUUUCCGUCCUGCUCCUCUG
Molecule: non-coding RNA, 28 nt
Filed under: Cricetulus griseus (Chinese hamster)
Lineage: Eukaryota; Metazoa; Chordata; Mammalia; Rodentia; Cricetidae
Source: RNAcentral